GACGAACGCUGGCGGCGUGCUUAACACAUGCAAGUCGAACGGAAAGGCCCGGCUUUUGUGGGGUGCUCGAGUGGCGAACGGGUGAGUAACACGUGAGUAACCUGCCCUUGACUUUGUGAUAACUUCAGGAAACUGGGGCUAAUACCGGAUAGGAGCUCCUGCUGCAUGGUGGGGGUUGGAAAGUUUCGGCGGUUGUGGAUGUACUCGCGGCUUAUCAGCUUGUUGGUGGGGUAGGGGAUUACCAAGGCUUUGACGGGUAGCCGGCCUGAGAGGGUGACCGGCCACAUUGGGAAUGGGAUACGGCCCAGACUCCUACGGGAGGAAGGAGUGGGGAAUAUUGAACACUGGGCGGAAGCCUGAUGGAGCAACGCCGCGUGCGGGAUGACGGCCUUCGGGUUGUAAACCGCUUUCGCGUGUGGAGAAGCGUGAGUGACGGUAAUGGGUAAAGAAGCACCGGCUAACUACGG
Molecule: ribosomal RNA, 467 nt
Filed under: uncultured bacterium
Lineage: Bacteria
Description: partial 16S ribosomal RNA
Rfam family: Bacterial small subunit ribosomal RNA
Source: RNAcentral